AGGGUGGGGCUUGUUCAUUGCACUCUGGGUAUGCUGCCCCCUGCAGGGUCCCCAAAUGGGGGAGGUACUA
Molecule: small nuclear RNA, 70 nt
Filed under: Sorex araneus (European shrew)
Lineage: Eukaryota; Metazoa; Chordata; Mammalia; Eulipotyphla; Soricidae
Description: U1 spliceosomal RNA (ENSSARG00000019713.1)
Source: RNAcentral